GACGAACGCUGGCGGCGUACUUAACACAUGCAAGUCGAACGAACAGGCCCUGCUUUUGUGGCGUGCUCGAUUGGCGAACGGGUGUGUAACACGUGAGUAACCUGCCCUUGUCUUUGUGAUAACUUCACGAAACUGGGGCUCUUACCGGAUAGGAGCUCCUGCUGCAUGUUGGUGGUUGGAGAGUUUCGGCGGUUGUGGCUGGACUCGCGGCUUAUCAGCUUGUUGGUGUGGUAGUGGCUUACCAAGGCUUUGACGGGUAGGCGGCCUGAGAGGGUGACCGGGGACAUUGGGACUGAGAGACGGCGCAGACGCCUACGGGAGGCAGCAGUGGGGAAUAUUGCACAAUGGGCGGAAGCCUGAGGCAGCAACGUCGGGUGCGGGAUGACGGCCUUCGAGUUGUAAACCGCUUUCGCCUGUGACGAAGCGGGAGUGACGGUAAUGGGUAAAGAAGCACCGGCUAACUACGUG
Molecule: ribosomal RNA, 468 nt
Filed under: uncultured bacterium
Lineage: Bacteria
Description: partial 16S ribosomal RNA
Rfam family: Bacterial small subunit ribosomal RNA
Source: RNAcentral